CCCUGAACGCCUCUCUGCCUGUGGCCCGUCUGAUGCUCUGUGGGGGCCUACAGGUCCCUGAACACCUCUCUGUCUGUGGCCCUAGUUAUUAGUUGGUGAGUUCUGUAACCAUCUGGUCU
Sander lucioperca (pikeperch) is the source of this 119-nucleotide long non-coding RNA. RefSeq lists it as uncharacterized. Lineage: Eukaryota; Metazoa; Chordata; Actinopteri; Perciformes; Percidae. The record is from RefSeq and is a predicted model, not a curated record. The transcript is spliced from 3 exons.